Molecule: unclassified non-coding RNA, 331 nt
Filed under: soil metagenome
Description: partial contains 5.8S ribosomal RNA, internal transcribed spacer 2, and large subunit ribosomal RNA
Rfam family: 5.8S ribosomal RNA (bases 1-120)
Source: RNAcentral
GAUGAAGAACGUAGCAAAAUGCGAUAAGUAAUGUGAAUUGCAGAAUUCAGUGAAUCAUCGAAUCUUUGAACGCACAUUGCGCCCGCCAGUAUUCUGGCGGGCAUGCCUGUUCGAGCGUCAUUUCAACCCUCAAGCACAGCUUGGUGUUGGGACUCGCGUUAAUUCGCGUUCCUCAAAUUGAUUGGCGGUCACGUCGAGCUUCCAUAGCGUAGUAGUAAAACCCUCGUUACUGGUAAUCGUCGCGGCCACGCCGUUAAACCCCAACUUCUGAAUGUUGACCUCGGAUCAGGUAGGAAUACCCGCUGAACUUAAGCAUAUCAAUAAGUGAGGA